This 253-nucleotide ribosomal RNA is filed under the name uncultured bacterium. Its description in RNAcentral is "partial 16S ribosomal RNA". It matches the Rfam family "Bacterial small subunit ribosomal RNA", at positions 524 to 776 of the family's 1533-position model. The record is from RNAcentral.
UACGUAGGGGGCGAGCGUUGUCCGGAAUUAUUGGGCGUAAAGGGCUCGUAGGCGGUUUGUCGCGUCGGGAGUGAAAACCCAGGGCUUAACCCUGGGCUGGCUUCCGAUACGGGCAGACUAGAGGUAUGCAGGGGAGAACGGAAUUCCUGGUGUAGCGGUGAAAUGCGCAGAUAUCAGGAGGAACACCGGUGGCGAAGGCGGUUCUCUGGGCAUUACCUGACGCUGAGGAGCGAAAGUGUGGGGAGCGAACAGG